CUCAACCCUGCUUCCUUUUAGUAUUGCGCUUUCUUUCCUUAUUUCUAAUUGGCUGCUCCUGGUAUGUUUUUGGGGAGGAGAAGGUAGCGACAUUGCCAGGCUACGAUGGUGAACUUCCCUUCCAGAUGUACACUGGGUUUAGGGGAAGAAGGGAAAAAGGGAGCGAGGAAGGAAGAACGGAAGCGGAGAAAGAAGGGAAGAAAGGAAGAAGGGAGGCGGGGGAAGAAGGGAAAAGAGAGGCGGAGGAAAAAGGAAAUGAGGGAGGAGGAAAAAGGGAGGCGGAGGAGGGAGGAGGAAGAACUCUAGGAAAUGAAUCACCGGACUCUCGCCCAUGCUUUCUCCAAUUGGUGAAGGUGUUGUUUGUGGUGAGGCCGCUGUGAGGCCCGCUCAGCAUCACAGUGUACAUCACGAGAUUGAGAUCUACAGGCGAAUGAAAACGAUAAACAAAUCAACGGCAAACCAAGUUGGGGGAGAGACCGAAAUAGGAGAGGCCAUAUAUACUUAACAUUUGGCAUUCCCUCAGUAUAUAUUUGUGUUGCUUACCAGAAUCGGCGUACGGCUGAACAUUUCCGGUUGCUGGCAAGUCCUGUAACGCAUCUGCCAUCGAUAUGGGGAUCCUGAAAUUCAGAUUCAAUGCGUUCUCUUUAUCAACCUUCACAAGACCAGAGUUUCAGAAUAUUUAGAAUAUAGAGACAGACAGAGAGAAAGAGAGAGAGAACCUGUUUUCCAACUGUGUCAUGAAUGACUGGUCCUGGGCAUCACCAGUUAAGAGAAGGCAAGGGAGGGAGAGGGAGGAAGAAGGUGAGGAAGAAGGCGAGCGAGAGAGAGAGAGGAAGAAGGCGAGCCCCAAUGGGUAAAAAAAGAAAAAACCGGAAAAAAUUUUCGUGCUCUCAGUUGGAAUAAUAUUUUCGGAAUUUUUUUUUGCAUUUUGAGCCCCAACGGUCAAAAAAAAAUUUCAUAUUUGAUGAAACUGGAAAAAUUUUGAAAAUUUAAAAUAAAUUUCUUGUGUUACACUAAAACUCCAGCCUUGUUUGUACAGUGAGUACUAAUGACAUACAAUUGCAAUGAGUCUUCAUCUUUUUGGUAUGGUGAGUACUGAUGACAUACAAUUGAGUCUUGACCUUUCCAGACAGUCCUGACCUGUUUGGUAUGGUGAGUACUGAUGACAUACAAAUGAGUCUUGACCGACUACCUAGAAGAGGGUGGGGGCUUCGGCUCUUUUCUUGAAAAGUAGGUGUUAUGGUGAUAUAAGAAGUUUUCAUGUUGUCUUUUCAUAAUGGCAAUUUGGAACUACGCCUACGCUGUGGUUUCUUGUCUCCUUUAGGGCUCAUUUGAUGGGUAGAAAAUCUAUUGUAGCAGAGGAAAUUUAUUUCAAAUUUAAAAAAAAAAAAUCAAUUCAUCAAACAUGGAAAAAAAUUUGGACCGUUGGAGGUGAUUUUGGAAAUAUAUUUCUGAAAAAAUUUUUAUAGCCAGAGGGGUGGAAAAAUUUUUCCGAAAAGUUUUUUAGACCGUUGGAAGAAGAAUAGAGGGGAAGGAAGAAGAAGGGAAGAAGGGAGCAGGAAGGAAGAGGGGAAGAAGGAAGAAGGGAAGGAGGGAGGAAAGAAGAAGGGAAGGAGGGAAGGAGAAGAGGGGAAGAAGGGAAGGAGAAGAGGGGAAGAGGGCACACGAGAAGGGAAGGAGAAGAGGGGGAAAAGGGGAAGAGGGCACCACGAGGAAGGAGAAAGGAGAAGAGGGGAAGAAGGGGAAGAGAGGAAGAAGGGAAGGAGAAGAGGGGAAGAGAGGAAGAAGGGGAAGAGGGCACAGCAAGGAGGGAAGGAGAAGAGGGGAAAAGGGUUUCAGCAGACAGUUUCUUUCUCCUCCUCCUUCUUCCUCCUCUUUUCUUCUCUUCCCUCAUCCCUCCUCCUUCCUUCCCUUCCUCCUCAUCCCUCCCUUUCCUUCCCUUCUUCCUCCUCCUCCCUGGCUCUCUUCUUCUUCCUCCCUCCUUCUUCCCUUCUUCCUCACCAUUUCCACCAAACUAAGAUUUUUUUUUUUCAGAAAAAUAUUUUCUUUAUAACAAAUCAGAAGUUGGUUUUAGAAAACUAAAAAGUAUUAAUUCCAAAAAUUUAUUUCUGAUUUUUUUUUUCAGAAAUAUAUUUCUAACCAUCAAACGGCCCCUUAAAGAAAGGGGUUAAUUGACUUGGUUUCAAUAUUUUAUCUCUUGCUUUGUCUUCAAAUAGGUACAUAACCGUGAACGAGACAACUUCAAACAACUUAUUACUUCAUCAAAUCAGAAAGGAACGCAACAGAGGAUCCUCUCAUACUCUGGUUAACAGGAGGACCUGGCUGCUCUGGCUUUAGUGGCCUUGUUGUCGAGAUUGGUCCUUUGAAAUUUAAGGUAGAAGAGU
Long non-coding RNA from Nymphaea colorata (pocket water lily), 2384 nucleotides. RefSeq lists it as uncharacterized. The record is from RefSeq and is a predicted model, not a curated record. Lineage: Eukaryota; Viridiplantae; Streptophyta; Magnoliopsida; Nymphaeales; Nymphaeaceae. The transcript is spliced from 3 exons.